This 2900-nucleotide ribosomal RNA is filed under the name Klebsiella pneumoniae. Its description in RNAcentral is "bacterial LSU rRNA". It matches the Rfam family "Bacterial large subunit ribosomal RNA". The record is from RNAcentral. Lineage: Bacteria; Pseudomonadati; Pseudomonadota; Gammaproteobacteria; Enterobacterales; Enterobacteriaceae.
UUAAGCGACUAAGCGUACACGGUGGAUGCCCUGGCAGUCAGAGGCGAUGAAGGACGUGCUAAUCUGCGAAAAGCGUCGGUAAGGUGAUAUGAACCGUUAUAACCGGCGAUGUCCGAAUGGGGAAACCCAGUGCAAUUCGUUGCACUAUCGUUAACUGAAUACAUAGGUUAACGAGGCGAACCGGGGGAACUGAAACAUCUAAGUACCCCGAGGAAAAGAAAUCAACCGAGAUUCCCCCAGUAGCGGCGAGCGAACGGGGAGCAGCCCAGAGUCUGAAUCAGCUUGUGUGUUAGUGGAACGGUCUGGAAAGUCCGACGGUACAGGGUGAUAGUCCCGUACACCAAAAUGCACAGGCUGUGAACUCGAAGAGUAGGGCGGGACACGUGGUAUCCUGUCUGAAUAUGGGGGGACCAUCCUCCAAGGCUAAAUACUCCUGACUGACCGAUAGUGAACCAGUACCGUGAGGGAAAGGCGAAAAGAACCCCGGCGAGGGGAGUGAAAAAGAACCUGAAACCGUGUACGUACAAGCAGUGGGAGCACCUUCGGGUGUGACUGCGUACCUUUUGUAUAAUGGGUCAGCGACUUAUAUUCUGUAGCAAGGUUAACCGUAUAGGGGAGCCGCAGGGAAACCGAGUCUUAACUGGGCGUUAAGUUGCAGGGUAUAGACCCGAAACCCGGUGAUCUAGCCAUGGGCAGGUUGAAGGUUGGGUAACACUAACUGGAGGACCGAACCGACUAAUGUUGAAAAAUUAGCGGAUGACUUGUGGCUGGGGGUGAAAGGCCAAUCAAACCGGGAGAUAGCUGGUUCUCCCCGAAAGCUAUUUAGGUAGCGCCUCGUGAACUCAUCUUCGGGGGUAGAGCACUGUUUCGGCUAGGGGGUCAUCCCGACUUACCAACCCGAUGCAAACUACGAAUACCGAAGAAUGUUAUCACGGGAGACACACGGCGGGUGCUAACGUCCGUCGUGAAGAGGGAAACAACCCAGACCGCCAGCUAAGGUCCCAAAGUCAUGGUUAAGUGGGAAACGAUGUGGGAAGGCACAGACAGCCAGGAUGUUGGCUUAGAAGCAGCCAUCAUUUAAAGAAAGCGUAAUAGCUCACUGGUCGAGUCGGCCUGCGCGGAAGAUGUAACGGGGCUAAACCAUGCACCGAAGCUGCGGCAGCGACACUAUGUGUUGUUGGGUAGGGGAGCGUUCUGUAAGCCUGCGAAGGUGACCUGUGAGGGUUGCUGGAGGUAUCAGAAGUGCGAAUGCUGACAUAAGUAACGAUAAAGCGGGUGAAAAGCCCGCUCGCCGGAAGACCAAGGGUUCCUGUCCAACGUUAAUCGGGGCAGGGUGAGUCGACCCCUAAGGCGAGGCCGAAAGGCGUAGUCGAUGGGAAACAGGUUAAUAUUCCUGUACUUGGUGUUACUGCGAAGGGGGGACGGAGAAGGCUAUGUUAGCCGGGCGACGGUUGUCCCGGUUUAAGCAUGUAGGCUGGUUGUCCAGGCAAAUCCGGAUAAUCAAGGCUGAGGUGUGAUGACGAGGCACUACGGUGCUGAAGUAACAAAUGCCCUGCUUCCAGGAAAAGCCUCUAAGCAUCAGGUAACAUUAAAUCGUACCCCAAACCGACACAGGUGGUCAGGUAGAGAAUACCAAGGCGCUUGAGAGAACUCGGGUGAAGGAACUAGGCAAAAUGGUGCCGUAACUUCGGGAGAAGGCACGCUGGUGUGUAGGUGAAGCCCCUGCGGGUGGAGCUGAGACCAGUCGAAGAUACCAGCUGGCUGCAACUGUUUAUUAAAAACACAGCACUGUGCAAACACGAAAGUGGACGUAUACGGUGUGACGCCUGCCCGGUGCCGGAAGGUUAAUUGAUGGGGUUAUCCGUAAGGAGAAGCUCUUGAUCGAAGCCCCGGUAAACGGCGGCCGUAACUAUAACGGUCCUAAGGUAGCGAAAUUCCUUGUCGGGUAAGUUCCGACCUGCACGAAUGGCGUAAUGAUGGCCAGGCUGUCUCCACCCGAGACUCAGUGAAAUUGAACUCGCUGUGAAGAUGCAGUGUACCCGCGGCAAGACGGAAAGACCCCGUGAACCUUUACUAUAGCUUGACACUGAACAUUGAGCCUUGAUGUGUAGGAUAGGUGGGAGGCUUUGAAGCGUGGACGCCAGUCUGCGUGGAGCCAACCUUGAAAUACCACCCUUUAAUGUUUGAUGUUCUAACGUUGGCCCCUUAUCGGGGUUGCGGACAGUGUCUGGUGGGUAGUUUGACUGGGGCGGUCUCCUCCCAAAGCGUAACGGAGGAGCACGAAGGUUAGCUAAUCCUGGUCGGACAUCAGGAGGUUAGUGCAAUGGCAUAAGCUAGCUUGACUGCGAGCGUGACGGCGCGAGCAGGUGCGAAAGCAGGUCAUAGUGAUCCGGUGGUUCUGAAUGGAAGGGCCAUCGCUCAACGGAUAAAAGGUACUCCGGGGAUAACAGGCUGAUACCGCCCAAGAGUUCAUAUCGACGGCGGUGUUUGGCACCUCGAUGUCGGCUCAUCACAUCCUGGGGCUGAAGUAGGUCCCAAGGGUAUGGCUGUUCGCCAUUUAAAGUGGUACGCGAGCUGGGUUUAGAACGUCGUGAGACAGUUCGGUCCCUAUCUGCCGUGGGCGCUGGAGAAUUGAGGGGGGCUGCUCCUAGUACGAGAGGACCGGAGUGGACGCAUCACUGGUGUUCGGGUUGUCAUGCCAAUGGCACUGCCCGGUAGCUAAAUGCGGAAGAGAUAAGUGCUGAAAGCAUCUAAGCACGAAACUUGCCCCGAGAUGAGUUCUCCCUGAGACUUUAAGUCUCCUGAAGGAACGUUGAAGACGACGACGUUGAUAGGCCGGGUGUGUAAGCGCAGCGAUGCGUUGAGCUAACCGGUACUAAUGAACCGUGAGGCUUAACCUU